Small nucleolar RNA from Cebus imitator (Panamanian white-faced capuchin), 102 nucleotides. RefSeq annotates it as small nucleolar RNA U13. The transcript has a single exon. NCBI's taxonomy places the organism in Eukaryota, Metazoa, Chordata, Mammalia, Primates, Cebidae. The record is from RefSeq and is a predicted model, not a curated record.
AGUAUUAAGAAGUCAUAAAGAGUGACGACUGGUUUUCAUGCUCAUGUAUGGGUGUGCCUUCCUUGAACCUUGUUAAGAUGUUAGUAUAUUACCCAUUUAAAG